GCAGCUUGCUGCUUCGCUGACGAGUGGCGGACGGGUGAGUAAUGUCUGGGAAACUGCCUGAUGGAGGGGGAUAACUACUGGAAACGGUGGCUAAUACCGCAUAACGUCGCAAGACCAAAGAGGGGGACCUUCGGGCCUCUUGCCAUCAGAUGUGCCCAGAUGGGAUUAGCUGUUGGUGAGGUAACGGCUCACCAAGGCGACGAUCCCUAGCUGGUCUGAGAGGAUGACCAGCCACACUGGAACUGAGACACGGUCCAGACUCCUACGGGAGGCAGCAGUGGGGAAUAUUGCACAAUGGGCGCAAGCCUGAUGCAGCCAUGCCGCGUGUAUGAAGAAGGCCUUCGGGUUGUAAAGUACUUUCAGCGGGGAGGAAGGUGUUGUGGUUAAUAACCGCAGCAAUUGACGUUACCCGCAGAAGAAGCACCGGCUAACUCCGUGCCAGCAGCCGCGGUAAUACGGAGGGUGCAAGCGUUAAUCGGAAUUACUGGGCGUAAAGCGCACGCAGGCGGUCUGUCAAGUCGGAUGUGAAAUCCCCGGGCUCAACCUGGGAACUGCAUUCGAAACUGGCAGGCUUGAGUCUUGUAGAGGGGGGUAGAAUUCCAGGUGUAGCGGUGAAAUGCGUAGAGAUCUGGAGGAAUACCGGUGGCGAAGGCGGCCCCCUGGACAAAGACUGACGCUCAGGUGCGAAAGCGUGGGGAGCAAACAGGAUUAGAUACCCUGGUAGUCCACGCCGUAAACGAUGUCUACUUGGAGGUUGUGCCCUUGAGGCGUGGCUUCCGGAGCUAACGCGUUAAGUAGACCGCCUGGGGAGUACGGCCGCAAGGUUAAAACUCAAAUGAAUUGACGGGGGCCCGCACAAGCGGUGGAGCAUGUGGUUUAAUUCGAUGCAACGCGAAGAACCUUACCUGGUCUUGACAUCCACGGAAGUUUUCAGAGAUGAGAAUGUGCCUUCGGGAACCGUGAGACAGGUGCUGCAUGGCUGUCGUCAGCUCGUGUUGUGAAAUGUUGGGUUAAGUCCCGCAACGAGCGCAACCCUUAUCCUUUGUUGCCAGCGG
This 1055-nucleotide ribosomal RNA is filed under the name Salmonella enterica subsp. enterica serovar Cerro str. CFSAN001691. RNAcentral describes it as "bacterial SSU rRNA". It matches the Rfam family "Bacterial small subunit ribosomal RNA", at positions 75 to 1124 of the family's 1533-position model. Lineage: Bacteria; Pseudomonadati; Pseudomonadota; Gammaproteobacteria; Enterobacterales; Enterobacteriaceae. The record is from RNAcentral.